GCUUACGGCCAUACCAGCGUG
Molecule: ribosomal RNA, 21 nt
Filed under: Hypostomus boulengeri
Lineage: Eukaryota; Metazoa; Chordata; Actinopteri; Siluriformes; Loricariidae
Source: RNAcentral